AGUAGCUAGCUACAGAUAACUAUCACUCAGGUCAAAACCAGAGAAGAAGUAGUCUCUGUCUUGCAGACCUCUGCGGUGCUGGAGUGACCUCUGUUGCUACUAGCAAACAAAUUGUAAAGCUAUGGCGCCUCCCGUUGCAGUCUCUCCUUUGAUCAAGACAGCUAGGUACUCUGCUUUGAUUGCUGGUAUCUUAUACGGCAAAAAAAGAUAUGAUUACCUGAAGCCCAUUGGAGCUGAAGAAAGGAGGAUUGAGGAGGAGGAGAAAAAGGUCCGUGAGGAGCAGGAGCGUAUCGCUAAGCAGCUUGCAGAGGCAAAUGAAGACACCAUUCUGAAGUAAACCUCAAGUGGAAUUUUCUACCCCUUUCUUUUUCUGGAGGAACAAUGGCAAAGCCAGUCAGACACAGCUUAUCUGCAGAAGUGCAGCAAACUAAGAUUUGGGUAAACUUUUACAGUAAUUAUUUCAUUAAGAUGAUCAAUACUAAAGCUCUUUAAUACACAAUAAUUUAAAUCUAAUUGCAGCUACUCAAAAGAAAGGUUUAUGUUUAGGAUAAAUGAAUUCCUGGGUUGUUUUUUCUGUCUGUUAAGCAUCCUGUGCCAUGAACUUGUAUUUGCUGCUCCUUCCAAAUUUUGGCACAUCAGGUUUGAAACUGCCGUUCAUGUUUGUUUGUGUUCACGCUAUACAUUAAAUGAAGUAUUUAAACUAA
Molecule: long non-coding RNA, 704 nt
Organism: Oryzias melastigma (Indian medaka)
Lineage: Eukaryota; Metazoa; Chordata; Actinopteri; Beloniformes; Adrianichthyidae
Exons: 4
Source: RefSeq, a predicted model, not a curated record